AGAGUUUGAUCAUGGCUCAGAAUCAACGCUGGCGGCGUGCCUAACACAUGCAAGUCGAACGCGAAAGCCCCGCAAGGGGUGAGUAGAGUGGCAAACGGGUGAGUAACACGUGGGUGAUCUGCCUCAGAGUGGGGGAUAACGACCCGAAAGGGUCGCUAAUACCGCAUAACAUCCUGCGCUUGGAUGCGUGGAGAUCAAAGUUGGGGAUUCGCAAGAACCUGACGCUUGGAGAGGAGCCCGCGGCCGAUUAGCUAGUUGGUGAGGUAACGGCUCACCAAGGCGACGAUCGGUAUCCGGCCUGAGAGGGCGGACGGACACACUGGGACUGAGACACGGCCCAGACUCCUACGGGAGGCAGCAGUGGGGAAUUGUUCGCAAUGGGCGCAAGCCUGACGACGCAACGCCGCGUGGAGGGCGAAGAUUUUCGGAUCGUAAACUCCUUUCGAUCGGGAAGAACAGCUUUCUAGUGAAUAGCUGGAGAGUCUGACGGUACCGAGAGAAGAAGCCCCGGCUAACUCCGUGCCAGCAGCCGCGGUAAUACGGGGGGGCAAGCGUUGUUCGGAAUUACUGGGCGUAAAGGGCUCGUAGGCGGCCAACUAAGUCCGACGUGAAAUCCCAAGGCUUAACCUUGGAACUGCGUCGGAUACUGGAUGGCUUGAAUUCGGGAGAGGGAUGCAGAAUUCCAGGUGUAGCGGUGAAAUGCGUAGAUAUCUGGAGGAAUACCGGUGGCGAAGGCGGCAUCCUGGACCGACAUUGACGCUGAGGAGCGAAAGCUAGGGGAGCAAACGGGAUUAGAUACCCCCGUAGUCC
RNAcentral lists this ribosomal RNA (810 nucleotides) under uncultured bacterium. Its description in RNAcentral is "bacterial SSU rRNA". It matches the Rfam family "Bacterial small subunit ribosomal RNA", at positions 8 to 796 of the family's 1533-position model. The record is from RNAcentral.